RNAcentral lists this long non-coding RNA (355 nucleotides) under Salmo salar (Atlantic salmon). RNAcentral's name for it is "lncRNA (ENSSSAG00000113962.1)". Lineage: Eukaryota; Metazoa; Chordata; Actinopteri; Salmoniformes; Salmonidae. The record is from RNAcentral.
GUUUCUGCUCUCUUGCCAACUCCUUGGCUUGACAAUGACAGCAAUGGAGUAGGAAAGAGCACAAACAUAUCUGGAACCAGGCUAGAAGAGGCUAUGUGAGAGAUGGAAACAGAUCUGGGACCAGGCUAGACGAGGCUAUGUGAGAGAUGGAAACAGAUCUGGGACCAGGCUAGACGAGGCUAUGUGAGAGAUGGGAAACAGAUCUGGGACCAGGCUAGACGAGGCUAUGUGAGAGAUGGAAACAGAUCUGGGACCAGGCUAGAUGAGGCUAUGUGAGAGAUGGGAACAGAUCUGGGACCAGGCUAGACGAGGCUAUGUGAGAGAUGGAAACAGAUCUGGGACCAGGCUAGAUGAG